GACAGAGGUCCCGAGCGUUAGGCGGAAUCACUGGGCUUAAAGCGUGUGUAGGCGGAUUUGUAAGUACCUUGUGAAAUCCCACGGCUUAACCGUGGAACUGCUUGGUAUACUGCUUAUCUUGGGCCAUCUAGGGGCUACCGGAACAAGUGGUGGAGCGGUGAAAUGCGUAGAUAUCACUUGGAACGCCAAUGGUGAAAACAGGUAGCUGGGGAUGUGCCGACGCUGAGACACGAAAGCCAGGGGAGCGAACGGG
RNAcentral lists this ribosomal RNA (253 nucleotides) under uncultured bacterium. Its description in RNAcentral is "partial 16S ribosomal RNA". It matches the Rfam family "Bacterial small subunit ribosomal RNA", at positions 524 to 776 of the family's 1533-position model. The record is from RNAcentral.